AGCAGCCACCUUUUAAAACGCGUCAAAGCGUAACCUUAACCCCCAAAAUACCACUAAUUUUCAUGAACCCCUAAUUUAUAAUGAAUGACUCCAUAUUUAUAUGGAAGACACCAUGCUAGGAUUAGUAACAAGAAUUUAUAAUUCUCCAAAAUGCAAAUAUAAACCAACAUGGAUGGACCAUUGGUAGUUACCGAACCUAAAUUCAAUGCAAUAACACCUACAAGAAAACUCUGCAGUACUCACUCGUUAACCUAACACCAGCGCAUUACAGGAAAGAUUAAAAAAAAGAGAAGGAAUUCGGCAAAUGGCGGCCCCGCCUGUUUACCAAAAACAUCGCCUCUUGACUUAUAAUAAGAGGUCUAGCCUGCCCAGUGAAUUUUAAACGGCCGCGGUAUCCUAACCGCGCGAAGGUAGCAUAAUCACUUGUUCUUUAAAUGGGGACUCGUAUCAACGGCAUCACGAGGGUUUUACUGUCUCCUCUUUUUGAUCAGUGAAAUUGAUCUUCCCGUGAAGAAGCGGGAAUAAAUUUAUAAGACGAGAAGACCCCAUGGAGCUUUAAACCAAAUAACAACUUAACCACUCACCCCAUAAUAAAUUUAAGCCCUGUUAUAAGGUUUUUGGUUGGGGUGACCGCGGAGUAAAGCAUAUCCUCCACGACGAAAAGAACAGAAUCUUUAUUUAAGAACCACACUUCUAGAAAUUAGUAUACUAACGUUUACUGACCCGACAAUCGAUCAACGGACCAAGUUACCCUGGGGAUAACAGCGCAAUCUACUUCAAGAGCUCAUAUCGACAAGUAGGCUUACGACCUCGAUGUUGGAUCAGGGUAUCCCGGUGGUGCAGCCGCUACCGAAGGUUCGUUUGUUCAACGAUUAAAACCCUACGUGAUCUG
Molecule: ribosomal RNA, 892 nt
Filed under: Polypedates leucomystax (Java whipping frog)
Lineage: Eukaryota; Metazoa; Chordata; Amphibia; Anura; Rhacophoridae
Description: partial 16S ribosomal RNA
Rfam family: Bacterial large subunit ribosomal RNA
Source: RNAcentral